GAAAAAGCGGUGGACAAGUGAACAAGGGCUUAGUUCUAAAAGAAGAAAGAUGGGAAGAAGCAGAGGCUCAGAUUCACUUUUGGCCUGUCAGAUAUUGCAGUCACAUCACUUUUCUCAAUGCAUGGCUUGCCACUGGUUGCCUGCAAAGCAGCAGACCAUCCAAGCUGCCUGCCAGCAUUGCAAACAAGCAUUGCUGCAUGGGAAAAACAAUGGCCAAUAUGGUGAAGAUCCACUCAAGUGGAGCCAAGUCAAGCUCUCUCUCUUUCUCUAAAUAUAUACACAUACACACACACACACACAUGCAUGCAUACAUAGAUACAUACAUGUAUGCUCUACCAUCACAUUGCUGGUAGGUUCAUCAUCACCGCCUCUGGAUUCUCCCUGGCAUCUUCGUUAGACCAUGUGACUUUUAACCAUUCCGGUUGAUCUUUCAAGUCCCCUGAUAUUUAUCAAGGGAAAAUGCUUUGUCUAUCCUAUUAGAGCAGAAUGGAGGAAAUGAAUUCAUGUUGUCGACCCCAACCAGUGCAGGCUUAAGCAGGGAUGACCAUGUGGGCAUGCCUAUGGAAAUAAUUAGGCCACAACUAUAACUUUUGGCUGAGGGUAUUUCUGUUCAUAAAAAGAAAACAAGGCUGACAAAUAAUUAUACCAAAAAUAGCUUAUGACAGCUUUCCUUAAAUAGUCGCCUAGCAUAAGCAAGUUCAUUACAUAUCCUGGCUCAUGCCCUUUUCUUUUUCUUUUUCCUUUUUUUCUGUUUUUGGAAAAAAAGAUCUGCUAGCCGACGCAAGGCUUGUUCCCAGCCUCCUGCCUGAUUUAUUCCUGAGCCCAACGCUGCCCAAAAGAAUAAUAAGAAAGAUGUCAUUCCACAAAAGUCCCAAAAUCUAUCAGUUUCAUAAAUGCAACAAAGAAAGCAAAAAUCUUAUCCUAGUUCCACUAAAACUUGUUGGGGAAUUCAUAAUAAUAAUAAUAAAAUGGCAUGAAGCAUGGUAUGAACCAUGAAGCACCAGUCUCUUAACCAUUUGACAUGGCUCUACCGUGUGAAUGCAACCUAAAGCCUCAUUAUAGUAGAUGCUUCAAACACCUUGGGCUCACAAAGAUAAGUAGAUGCUGAGGCUUGACCUGGCAAAAAGUUCAUUCAGGUUUGUAACAAGGAAAAAACACAAGCGUGAACACUUGCAGAGCUUGCACAGCCCUUUCAUGUAACAAACCAAGUCCAAACAGCCUAAAGCUCUAUGCAUUUAGUUUGCAGCACACACAAGAAUUUUUAAGAUGAGAUGAUACCUCAUUGGUCAAUAUCUUCUAUAUACCACACCAAUUUCUAUUAACUAAGAUAAUAAGGACAAAAAUUUCAUGCAUAUUAUAUUAGCAUGUGCUGAUACAGGUACAACCCAACAUUUCCACCGAGAUAUACACCUUGGGCCCUAGGAAGGAGCAGAAAGGGGCUUUGAACAACAGAUGUUCAGCAAAACAAAUAUCCAUAAGGGCCAUCAAAAUGAUCACCUUAGUUGCCAUCAAAUUUACUAAAAUAGAUAUCAAUAAAACAUGAUUUUCAGUGAAACAGGUUGAAACAGAUUAUGAACAACAGGGGUAGACCCAUCUUUCAUAAAGCUCAUUUUUUUUUAGAUUUUAUAUCUCGCCAUGUUGGCAGUUUUAUUGAAAAGAACCAAACAGGAUAGGCUGCAAGGAAAAGAAUAAAAAAAAAGCCUUUUCACCUUUGUAAAACACAUUCAUUUUGAGUCUUUUUAUUUACUAAUUUUAAUGAAGCUUGUCAACUAAACAACCCAAGAAAGCAGUCUACAGUAAUCGCACCAGCCUCCUUACUUUAUUGUAAUUAGUCUUUCAUUUAUCAAUUCCUAAUAUUUUCAAUCAAAUUUCAUAGUUUGGAAAUCAAAAGGCAGGCAACUCUUUUGAGAUGCAAUUAUUUGGCUUGCUAGCAUCCAUCACCUCCUAGAUGCUAGGUAAAGAAAAAGAAUGCAUGGGUGAUGUAAGUCAUGAAUGGAAAUAAAACUUCUGGCAUAUGAUUUUUGUCAUACAUAGCAUAUCAAGAUUUUGACAUAUGACUCUAAUAAAUAUCACUUCAACUAAUCUUCCACAUGAUUCAUGGACAGGUCGUAUAUGGCAGAUGAAAAUUUUCGCACAUAAAUCUUGUAUAUGAAUUUUUACAUAUUUUCAAAUAAACCUUGGACAGAUCAUAUGAAGAUUUUAGUACAAUGAUUUCUUCACAUGAUUCUCGUGCCUGAUUCUUGGACAAAUUAUACAAAGCAAUAAUUCCUAGUCUGAUGAUUAAUGACUGAUUCACUUAUCAUAACUUUGUAUUUUAUGAGAUUACCUUUGUAUCCUUACAAUAUAGUAUAAAAUAGAGUGCAACAACACAUUCCACUUACCCCUAGUGUCUUAUUUUCUUCAUGGUAUCAAAGCCAACCUUCUCCAUAGCCUUCUUUGCUCCCUCCCAACUCAUCAGCCCUAGUCCAUAUCUGAGGAAUCACUGCUUUGCAUGACAUAUCCAAGAAUCAUGCAUGAGAAUCAUCUGCCAAAAUCUUCAUCUACCAUGUAUAACCUAUCCAUGAAUCAUGUCCAGGAUUAUCUGAUGAGAUAUGAAGAUACAUGCACAAGAAUCAUGUGCCAAAAUCUUCAUCUGCCAAGAAUCAUAUGGGAGAUUAUCUUAAGAGAUGAAGAGAUAUGCAUGAGAAUCAUGUACCAAAAUCUUGAUCUACCAUGUAUGACAAGAACUGUGUCAGAAUCUUCAUUUCUGUUCAUAACUUUAUCACAUGGGCCCCUGACAAAUGCACCACCAAGUAGUUGAGGUUUUACAAAAGUUCAGAUUAAUUACACAUAACAUAUGUUUCCUUGUUUCCGUCAUUUAUUUUUUUGCUUAGAAUAUUUACUGGUUGAAAUAUAUUUCUCGUUUGAACUAUAGCAAGAUUUCUAAUAUUUUAUCUUUCAACCAGUUUGUGAUCUUAAAAUUUCACAAAACAGAAGAUUCCUACACUGAAAAAAAUAGAGAAUGUGGUGUCAUUUGAAUGGUAAUGCAAAUUAACCUUUAUUGGAGAAAAUGAUAAAAAUAAUUUAAGCAAACCUACAAAAUUUAAAAAAACCUAAAGGAAACAAAUCUUCUACAGAUCACUCCAAAUUUGAAAGAUUUAAACACGGAAGAAUCAUAGACAAACAAGAGUUGGAAAAGAAUGAACUAAAAAACAAGGGACCUUGUCUUAGAAAGAUAAAGGAGUGAAGAAACAUAGAGAGGCUCAGAUUUGCCUUGGAUCCAUCAUUCAUCUUUUGCAAUGACCAAAAACUUCACCCAAAAUGGUCUAGCCAGAAGGUUAUGAAUUAAUGUCCUUGCCCUGCUAUGAUCUCCCAGACUAAACAAACAUCCGCAUGAAUCCUCACAUCCUUCUGCUGCAAUCCUCUAAACAAGUGACUGCAGCAGUUGUCUAGGAAGAAAUGGAAUGCCCCAACUGUCAUGCACUGUUGCAAAAGGAAAACAGGAGAGAGAAGUCGAAAAAAGGUUUCAUCACCACCUCAAUAGAAAAGAUACAGCAAGAGAAAGAGAAGAAUGCAUUCAAAACAGAGAGGUCUUAAAUAACAGCCAUGUCAUAUUGUGGAAGGGCGCAACUCUUGGUAGCACCAGAGCACCAACUGACCAACUCUUCCUGGUUCCUCCAUCAAGCCUCAUAGCUGAGCAGCAUAUUGGGCUGAAAACACAGCUGUCCAAUGAAUCAAGCAGCUUGAGCAUGUCUCUAGAUUCAACUUGAGACGAACGAAUCAGGUUCGGUUAGAAGCACGAAUCAAGUAGAAGACUUGUAUGCACAAAAAAGAGGAUUUGAUGCCAUUUGGGUGGUAGUGACAAUUCUGAGAAAAAUAAAGACAACAAAUAUCAUUGUGACAAAGCUCUACAAAAACAUUGUAAAUUCCUUGAGCAAAAAAACUUCAACAGAACAAUUCUGAUUUGCAAGAUUUCAAAACACAAAUAUCAUAAAGAAGUAUUAUUUUAGGAAUAAAGAACAGAAUGAUAAACAAGGUACCUAUCUCAGAACAUAAAAAGGACACAGACAAGCGGCAAGAGGCUCAGAUUCACCUUCGUACCAUCAUCCCACUUCUGCAUUUUUGGUCCACAAAUGGCAGUAGAGGUUGUCAGGGGGGUCUCACAAUCAUCACAAAAGAAAAAUACUGGAGGAAUCUAUAAGAGCUUCAUCAUCACUGCCUCCAGAGAAAGAUAGAGCAAGACAUACAUAGAGAAAGGUAUGGGAAUUAAGAGCUGAGUUCGGACAAUCUCCAGUUCAUGACUGAGGAGACAACCAUCACCAUGGAAGGCACUCUAUAGAAUUUUUGUUCAUCUUAUAACAAAGAGGGGGCAACUCGGGGGAGCACCAAGUCGCCAACCCUUACUUAUUUCUCCCUGGAACUUUCAUACCUCAACAAAUAACAUAAAGGCUGCAAACAGGUCAGGUCGAGUCAGGAUCCAACUUCGACAUCAAGAAAAGAAAUAGAAACCCAUAAACUACAAAUCAUUUCUGAUAAACAUUUUGAACAUUUAAAAAUUUUGAAAAAAAAAUGAAAAUUCUGAAAAAGCGGUGGACAAGUGAACAAGGGCUAAGUUCUAAAGAAGAAAGAUGGGAAGAAGCAGAGGCUCAGAUUCACUUUUGGCCUGUCAGAUAUUGCAGUCACAUCACUUUUCUCAAUGCAUGGCUCGCCACUGGUUGCCUGCAAAGCAGCAGACCAUCCAAGCUGCCUGCCACCAUUGCAAACAAGCAUUGCUGCAUGGGAAAAACAAUGGCCAAUAUGGUGAAGAUCCACUCAAGUGGAGCCAAGUCAAGCUCUCUCUCUUUCUUCUAUAUAUAUAUAUAUAUACACACACACAUACACACACACACAUGCAUGCAUACAUACAUGUAUGCUCUACCAUCACAUUGCUGGUAGGUUCAUCAUCACCGCCUCUGGAUUCUCCUCGGCAUCUUCAUUAGACCAUGUGACUUUUAACCAUUCCGGUUGAUCUUUCAAGUCCCCUGAUAUUUAUCAUUGAAAAUGCUUUGUCUAUCCUAUUAGAGCAGAAUGGAGGAAAUGAAUUCAUGUUGCCGACCCCAACCAGUGCAGGCU
RNAcentral lists this long non-coding RNA (5091 nucleotides) under Elaeis guineensis (African oil palm). RNAcentral describes it as "long non-coding RNA (EGUI_LNC017257)". The record is from RNAcentral. Lineage: Eukaryota; Viridiplantae; Streptophyta; Magnoliopsida; Arecales; Arecaceae.